RNAcentral lists this ribosomal RNA (442 nucleotides) under uncultured bacterium. Its description in RNAcentral is "partial 16S ribosomal RNA". It matches the Rfam family "Bacterial small subunit ribosomal RNA", at positions 338 to 795 of the family's 1533-position model. The record is from RNAcentral.
CCUACGGGAGGCUGCAGUAGGGAAUCUUUCACAAUGGGCGAAAGCCUGAUGGAGCAACGCCGCGUGCAGGAUGAAGGCCUUCGGGUUGUAAACUGCUUUUAUAAGCGAGAAAUAUGAUGGUAACUUAUGAAUAAGGAUCGUCUAACUACGUGCCAGCAGCCGCGGUCAUACGUAGGAUCCGAGCAUUAUCCGGAGUGACUGGGUGUAAAGAGUUGCGUAGGUGGCAUAAUAAGUAGCUAGUGAAAUCUGGUGGCUCAACCAAUCAGACUAUUAGCUAAACUGUUAAGCUCGAGACCGUUAGGGGUAACUGGAAUUUCUAGUGUAGGAGUGAAAUCCGUAGAUAUUAGAAGGAACACCAAUAGCGUAGGCAGGUUGCUGGGACGGUUCUGACACUAAGGCACGAAAGCGUGGGGAGCAAACGGGAUUAGAUACCCGAGUAGUC